This 541-nucleotide long non-coding RNA is filed under the name Trifolium pratense (red clover). Its description in RNAcentral is "long non-coding RNA (TPRA_LNC006726)". The record is from RNAcentral. Lineage: Eukaryota; Viridiplantae; Streptophyta; Magnoliopsida; Fabales; Fabaceae.
UUUUAUAUAUAAGUAAAUUUUCAUUUUUUUAAGUUCAUUUAAUAGUUGAUGUAUUUAGUCUAUAAUACUGACUAUAUACAUUUAAUUUUUAAAUAAAUUUAAAAAGUAAAAAAUUAUUAUUUAUAUAUAAAAUGGGAGGAAGUAUAGAGCUUUCAUAGCUUAAUUGUCAUUAUGCUUAUUCUCGCAGAGGCACAAAAACAAACGACAAUUCAUAACAAAAGGAGGACUGUGACAUAUAUUUUUAUCACAAUCAUCCGUAGUAUAGCAGAACAAUUUAUCUGUUAGGUCAAAUAAAAAUAAAAAAAUGUUACUAAAAAAUAAAUGAAUGAUUAUGUAUAUGAUAAAAAAAAAAUUAAAAUAGGUGUGCAAAACAACUUACUGCUAGAUACAAGAACAAUUAAAGAAAGAAAGAUCAUCAAUACAUGAACGAAUUUAAAAAUUUCAGCCAUAUUUUUCUUUUCAUAUAUUAAAUAAGAAAAUUGGUUGAUCAUUUUAUAAAUAAAACCCCAUCCACUUUAAUAAGCUUCAAUUUAAUAUUGUU